UCUCUCUCACACACACACUCUCGGAAAGGAAAUUCUCUACAGAUCUAAUACUUCUCUCACUCUCAAGCAAAUUUAUUACUUGUCUCAAAAAAUUAACCAUGGGAAAAAUUCAUGAUGGUUGUAUUUACUAGUUAGGGUUCAAAAACUUUCAGAGGAUUUGAAAACGGCUAGCUCACCUCUGAUUUCAGGUUUUAUCAGAGCUUCAACUCACCAACUUAUUAGGGUUGGUGUUCUUAUAGGCAAAGCUCGAGAGACCAUUCAGUUAUUGCAGGAUUCAGGAGCUAAAAUUCAAAUCACAAGAGAUGCUGAAGCUGAUAGAUAUGCAACAACCAGACCUAUUGAAUUAGAUUCAGAUAAAAGUCCCAAUGAGAAGUUGGUCUGAUCGUUGGCAAGGGAGGUGAAACAAUUAAAUCCUACAGACAAGACCUGGAUCAAAUAUCUAGGUAGUUGAUACCGUUAAGCUUUGUUUGCAGUGUACCUUGUGAUGCAAUGAAAGGACUUCGAUCAACCAGCAUGACUUAAUCAUUUCACUGAAAGCUAAUUAGUCUAGUUACCUGAACAAUACUUAUUAUGUGGGUCUACUGUCUCAAUAUCCUUAUUACUUAUGAUAGUAUGAGAUACCUACCCUGCUCAUUCGUAACAUUAAUGGAGCAUUUUCUUGGAUAUGUAUGUUACUCCAAUAGUAGGUGUGCUGAUGAUAGUUUUAUGCAAUUUCUGUUUGCUUCUCGGAGCCGUUCAUCCAUGCUUCUCAAGCUAGCCAAGUUUUUUACUGCAACGAUUUGAAAAUGAAGCAUUGGUAUCUGGUUUUGGAAUCUCCUAUAAGAUCAGACCCCAUAUGAAUGCUUUUGAAGAUCCAUAUGUCUUCACUGCAACCUCUAGUGAUGCUCCAUUGAUUUCAGAAACGGUUGGAGAUGAUGAUUAUUGGAGUGGAACUGCUCAGGGAGAUGAUGAGUAUUCAGAUGUAGAUGAUCAGGAACUAGCACUAGCUGAAUGUGCAGACGAUGAAUAUUCGGAUGGGGAUGCUUAGGAACUAGCUGAAUGUGGGUUGUAGAUAUUCAAUCACAAUGUUUUUUCGAGGAAUGAGGUCAUUAUGGAAAUGUUGUUGCCGCUGUUGUAUUGAUGAUGGUUUGAUACCUUCAUGGAUGCCGUCACUCUGUUCCCGUUGGUCUCAUGAGGAUAACUGAUGUCAUGGUUGAUGGUAAGAUCGUUGUUCCUGCUGGAUGUAAAAAUGGUUGAAAGAGUUGUGCGUCUACAGUCUGCUCUCACGCAAGCUAGUGCCAAGAUCCUAAUGACUGAAAUUGUUGUUGAAAUUCUCAGGACUUGUAUCACUUAAGAAACCUUAAUAAUUAGAAGUUUUUUUUAAUGAUUUUGGACUAAAUUUAUGAGUACAGUUCAAUGUAAUUGAGCUGUCAUUUGGUAUUAGACAAAUCAGGUUCUAUAUAGAAUUUGAAUUUGAAUUUGAGAAUUUGAAUUUCACUUGAAUUUGGGACCUUGAGUAAUUGUCAUA
Molecule: long non-coding RNA, 1507 nt
Organism: Papaver somniferum (opium poppy)
Lineage: Eukaryota; Viridiplantae; Streptophyta; Magnoliopsida; Ranunculales; Papaveraceae
Exons: 8
Source: RefSeq, a predicted model, not a curated record